GACGUAGGAUGCAAGCGUUGUCCGGAAUUAUUGGGCGUAAAGAGUUCGUAGGCGGUUGCCUAAGUCUGAUGUUAAAUACUGGAGCUCAACUCCGGCAUGGCAUUGGAAACUGGGCAGCUAGAGUGUGGUAGAGGUCUCGGGAAUUCCAGGUGUAGCGGUGAAAUGCGUAGAUAUCUGGAGGAACACCGGUGGCGAAAGCGCGAGACUGGGCCAUAACUGACGCUGAGGAACGAAAGCCAGGGGAGCGAAAGGG
RNAcentral lists this ribosomal RNA (253 nucleotides) under uncultured bacterium. RNAcentral describes it as "partial 16S ribosomal RNA". It matches the Rfam family "Bacterial small subunit ribosomal RNA", at positions 524 to 776 of the family's 1533-position model. The record is from RNAcentral.